RNAcentral lists this ribosomal RNA (524 nucleotides) under uncultured bacterium. RNAcentral describes it as "bacterial SSU rRNA". It matches the Rfam family "Bacterial small subunit ribosomal RNA", at positions 984 to 1509 of the family's 1533-position model. The record is from RNAcentral.
ACAUCCAGCGAACUUGGCAGAGAUGCCUUGGUGCCUUCGGGAACGCUGAGACAGGUGCUGCAUGGCUGUCGUCAGCUCGUGUUGUGAAAUGUUGGUUAAGUCCCGNAACGAGCGCAACCCUUAUCCUUUGUUGCCAGCGAUUCGGUCGGGAACUCAAAGGAGACUGCCGGUGAUAAACCGGAGGAAGGUGGGGAUGACGUCAAGUCAUCAUGGCCCUUACGAGUAGGGCUACACACGUGCUACAAUGGCGCAUACAAAGAGAAGCGACCUCGCGAGAGCAAGCGGACCUCAUAAAGUGCGUCGUAGUCCGGAUCGGAGUCUGCAACUCGACUCCGUGAAGUCGGAAUCGCUAGUAAUCGUGGAUCAGAAUGCCACGGUGAAUACGUUCCCGGGCCUUGUACACACCGCCCGUCACACCAUGGGAGUGGGUUGCAAAAGAAGUAGGUAGCUUAACCUUCGGGAGGGCGCUUACCACUUUGUGAUUCAUGACUGGGGUGAAGUCGUAACAAGGUAAGCGUAGCGAG